Molecule: non-coding RNA, 3745 nt
Organism: Phoenix dactylifera (date palm)
Lineage: Eukaryota; Viridiplantae; Streptophyta; Magnoliopsida; Arecales; Arecaceae
Source: RefSeq, a predicted model, not a curated record
GUACUCCACGACCGAGAAGCGUCAGAAAAAGAAUUUCUUGGUGGGGUGCCUGGUGAUCGGAGAUAUCCUUGCGAUUUAUGGCUUGAAGCUUGAGGGAAAGCAGAAGGAACCAUUCUACCUACCAAUCAAGUAUUAUUUUGUUUAAGAUUUUCAGUUUCCGGGUUGGAUUUUUAAUUUUGUUUGGUUGCAAGGGUGAAGGAUUACCUGUCCGAUCAUGAAAAUCAGACGAGUAAUCAUGGGGAUAGGGGGCGAACUAACCUGUUGCGGUCGACGAUUCGGCACCAGCACGAUCGGCCACGACCGUGAUUUCAGAUGCUGGGAUUUCAUAACUUCUUCUGAUGCUGGGAUUUCAGAUGCUCCCGAGUUUCCACGGCAAGCCUCAAGAAAUCCCGUCCACCCAACAAUCCUAGAAAAGAGGAUAAUCGAAACCCUAACAGAGCAAGAACAAGGAGAUGGCUACGGAGAAGAUGGUACUGACGGUCAUCAGGGCUUCCCGCCCAUCCUUCCGUAGCCCCCACGACAAGGUCGCCUUCGCCGCCCAUGCCUCCUUCCUCGCAGCCGGCUUCUUCCUCAACGCCACCGGCAAGAACGCCCUAUCUGAUAAUCCUCCAAUCGGUGGGGAAGAGGUGGGGAUCGAGGGGUGGGACGAGCUGGUGGGCAGCUAUGAUUUCCUGGACCUCACGAUCGAGAUGGGUCAGAAAAGGAAUUUUUUGGUGAGGUGCACGGUGAUCGGAGAGUUUCUUAUGAUUGAUUGCUUGAACCUUGAGCGACAGAAGAAGAACCAUUAUACUUACCAAUCAGGGUGAAGAAUUACCUGUCCGAUGAUGAAAAUCAGACGGAUAAUUAUGGAGACUUGUACAAAGAUUUGAAGGGCCUUGUCAAGAAUUUGAAUUCUAGUAUGUUGGCUAAAUUGGAACCCAACGUUCGAGCAGUGUUGGGAGCAGUCUGAGUCAUGAUACGGGUUCGGGAGCAAAAUGCCUCGAGUCAGGACGCGAGUCAGGUCGCAGCCUAUUGACUACUAUGGAACAUAACAUUGAAAAUGGCCGUUGUUUCUAUUGUUGUUAGUUGCCUAUUAACUAUAUCGUAAUCAGAUAACAUUGUAUCACAUUGUCUGAAUCCAUGCUUGAAAUAUUUUGUUGAUAUUAGCCUUUUUGGUAGUGUCUGUCUUCUCUAUUAAUGUUUGCAAAUCAAAAUACAUGCUAGUUCUGCUUUCUUCACCUGGUCUUUUGAUUAGCUGGCCAUCACUAGAGGCUACUGCGGCAUUUAUGGUGCAGAAUAAUGUAUUUGCUCAAAAUAUGGCAGGGUUUUGUUCAGCAUUAUGUUACUGAAUAUGUAAAAUAGCUUCAGGCACUUAUGGUCGCUUAUCUGUUCCAUUGAGCCCAUUUAUGCGUCACACUCGAGUCUUCCUAGGCGACACAAGAUGCACUCUUUGUUUAGUUUAAUAAUAGUUUGGUGGUCUACUAACUACAGAAAAACAGAAAUCUCUUGUCAAACUGAUUUUCCAAGGUGAUUUUCCUCAGACAUAUGGACAAAGAAAAGCUUUAGUCAUUAGUUUGACCUUGAACGUAUGAUUUCCACUUCAAGCCAGUUAUUCGUACUAGUAUUUUCGAGGUCUGAAGUACUCUCCAUCUCCCUCGAGCCAUGCCGUCUGAACUGAAGGGUUUGAAAUCAUGCUUGCCGUCAAGGAAUUCCAAGCAGUUAAAACUUCAACAUUACAUGAUAAGCAAAUAGAUAAAUAAAAAUAGGUUUUUAAAACAAUGGAACAAUGUACAGAAGGACUAUAAAUAUGCAACUACUGUGAAACAACAGAUCAAAUCACAAAUUUCCAUCGUCGUCAACAUGGCAAGAUACUUCUUGCUUCUAAUUCUUCGCGCAUGGACUGGUGGAGAGCUUCAGAACAAGAAGGGAAUCGGAGCAAAUGCAGGCACGACUGUGGGAACUCCAUAGUGCCUGAUAAAUCAAAAAAUUUAUUUGAUUUUUUGUUUAUUCACUUGAUAGAGAAGUUUUAUACCGAUCCCACGAACGUCAGAGGAUCAUGCCAAACAUAACUUCAAUAAGUGAAUUAAAGAAGAUGAUUGGCCUGCCAACUUAUACAGCAUAGAUUUCAGCAUCUGGAAGUGCCACUAUCGCUCCGCUUUGAGUAUAGACUCCAACAUGGACUCUGAAUCAGCCGCCAUUAUUAACAUUUCCAAGCCAUCUACUGCUAAAAUAGGAGUGGGGAAUCACAGCCCAACGGCUUGAGCCCAAAAUGUGGCACCUUUCUUAUUAAUCAAUGUGGGACUAUAACUAAUCUGAUCUUUCGCCCAAUCUUAGUGACGCCCUAUUAUUAACUCCUACUUGAGAAAUGAAGACGACUCCACCCUGCCGGAUCCUCUUCGAUCCGGAGCCAGAAGACCCACUCGGCGGCAUCGCCCGCUCCUUGCGAGGGAGAAUCCUCCCCGUUGAUUUGGCACUCCUCGUCCACGACCCACAGCCUCGAUUCCCACCCUUCGCGGCCACCGGCGCCGUCGCAGCCUGGGUGCCGUCCUCGGAGAUCGCGACGAGCAACGGCCGCCGGCCGCCAUGAUGGCGAAGCCGUCCCGUCGGAGGGUCUCCGCCGGCGCUUAUCAGGGUAGGCGCAGGUCGUCGGGGAGAGCGGCGGUGCCUCCGCCUUCUCCUCCGUCCGCCGCGUUCUCGGCGGAGAGUCCUCCGGUAACGCGGCUGGACGGCCGCAGGGAACGAACUCCAGAAACCUCAUCUGUCCCCUUCCGCUGUCUUCCUCGCAGGGGCAGUACUUUACUGCAUAUUUAGAGCUCUGCCAUUGGUGGCGGACGGAGGAUAUGAUCGCAGAGUAGAAACAAGAUGGAUCCUUCAUCGCUGGGGCUCAGGGACGAUGAGACCCAGGUCGUGAAUUGCCAGAGGAGUCAGGGGGCACUGCCAGGGACCCGUCAUCGAGAGAUGGGUUCUUGGGCUUCAUACGCGGACUCGGUCCUCGGAUUGUGACGGUGACCGAUGAGGACUCGGACUUGGACUCCCCGAGCCUCACCUCGAGGAUCAUGGCAUGCUUCAAGUCUUCAACUAUCUAUGGAUACCAUUUGAUGCCCUCGAGACCUUCUUGCCAAGGACUGUCCCCAGAAGACGGAGUACGAGGCCGAUGUCGGGCAGAAGAUCGAGAAUAUCAUAGGGUUUGAGGGGGGGCAAAGGAUAGAGAGGUCGGAGUCCGGUGUUCGGUUCAUGCAACGAAUGAAGAGAGCAAGAAUUCAAAGCAUUCCGUUUGAUGAGGAGACGGUGAAGGAGGCGAAGCUUCUUUUGGAUGAGCAUGCAAGUGGUUGGGGUAUGAAGAAAGAAGAAGACAUGUUGGUGCUCACAUGGAAAGGCCAUAGCUCACUUUUCACCACAGCUUGGGUCCCAGAUGGAUUUGAUGAAUAAAAGGCUUGUCUCUUUGGAUGGGAGAGAGAGAGAUCUCGGCAUCUCUUUGCGGUCCAAUGCAAGAGCCGUGACAAAAUGGUGUAGGCUUUGCCUACGGAGGUGGGUGGGUGUGAUAUUUGCCUAGGGUGGUGGGGGGCCACAGAGGGAGAUGGAGAGAGAGAGAGAGAGAGUAAAACGGCCGGGUUUGUUUGUUAUUUGUAAAAAGGCCAGCUUUGCAGCAGAGAGAGCAUCUUAGCUUGGCAAAACCCGUAUGAUCGGUGGCAAUAUUGGAGGAAUGUAUCUAUUGUCUUCAUCCAUGGUGAGGCUGUGCCUCGGUUUAAGUCACUUAUUGUUGACA